RNAcentral lists this ribosomal RNA (811 nucleotides) under Samsoniella sp. RNAcentral's name for it is "partial large subunit ribosomal RNA". It matches the Rfam family "Eukaryotic large subunit ribosomal RNA", at positions 115 to 958 of the family's 3401-position model. The record is from RNAcentral. Lineage: Eukaryota; Fungi; Ascomycota; Sordariomycetes; Hypocreales; Cordycipitaceae.
UUGAAAUCUGGCCUCCGGGUCCGAGUUGUAAUUUGUAGAGGAUGCUUUUGGCGAGGUGCCUUCCGAGUUCCCUGGAACGGGACGCCAUAGAGGGUGAGAGCCCCGUCUGGUCGGACACCGAGCCUCUGUAAAGCUCCUUCGACGAGUCGAGUAGUUUGGGAAUGCUGCUCAAAAUGGGAGGUAUAUGUCUUCUAAAGCUAAAUAUUGGCCAGAGACCGAUAGCGCACAAGUAGAGUGAUCGAAAGAUGAAAAGCACUUUGAAAAGAGGGUUAAAAAGUACGUGAAAUUGUUGAAAGGGAAGCGCCUAUGACCAGACUUGGGCCCGGUGAAUCAUCCAGCGUUCUCGCUGGUGCACUUUGCCGGGCACAGGCCAGCAUCAGUUUGGCGCGGGGGAAAAAGGUUUUGGGAAUGUGGCUCCCUCGGGAGUGUUAUAGCCCAUUGCGUAAUACCCUGCGCCGGACUGAGGUACGCGCAUCGCAAGGAUGCUGGCGUAAUGGUCAUCAGCGACCCGUCUUGAAACACGGACCAAGGAGUCGUCUUCGUAUGCGAGUGUUCGGGUGUCAAACCCCUACGCGUAAUGAAAGUGAACGCAGGUGAGAGCUUCGGCGCAUCAUCGACCGAUCCUGAUGUUCUCGGAUGGAUUUGAGUAAGAGCAUACGGGGCCGGACCCGAAAGAAGGUGAACUAUGCCUGUAUAGGGUGAAGCCAGAGGAAACUCUGGUGGAGGCUCGCAGCGGUUCUGACGUGCGAAUCGAUCGUCAAAUAUGGGCAUGGGGGCGAAAGACUAAUCGAACCUUCUAGUAGCUGGUUUC